Molecule: long non-coding RNA, 711 nt
Organism: Phyllostomus hastatus (greater spear-nosed bat)
Lineage: Eukaryota; Metazoa; Chordata; Mammalia; Chiroptera; Phyllostomidae
Exons: 5
Source: RefSeq, a predicted model, not a curated record
UCCUCGCAAUGGCAGCUUGUCGGGAAGAGUUCUAGCUCGUAAAACAGGAGAGCCAGCUUCUGCUUCAGCUCUGCCAUUAACAGCUUUGGGGCCUUGGGCCUCAGUCUCCCAUAUUUAGGUUGGGAUGGAGGCGAGGAAACUGAGGCCCAGAGAGGAGACUGGUGGGUCUGAGCUGAUUUGAAACCAGAACUCCUGACUCUCAGGCAUGCCUUCUUCCUGCAGCAAAUGCCAUCUCAUUGGCCCUGUACCUUGAUGAAGGGGAAACUGAGGCCCAGAGAAGGACAUGAGUUGCUCAGACUCUCCUCCCGGACCUUACCUCAGUAAACAGCCUGAGCUGCUUCUGACCCUGCAGGGGUCUCAUGGCCCCUGAGGUAGAGGCCCCUUUGGAACAAGGCUCUCUGGGCUGCCCAGGACUCACAACCGCACUGCAGCUGCCCCUGUUUGUGGAUUGGGCUCUCGGCAACAGACUUGAACCAGGAUUUGAGGGCAUGGAGUUUAUUUGCAAGGAGCCCGCACUGCCCUCCCUGACCCUGGACAGCGCCCUGCUGGCCGGGGCUGGGAAAUUCGCCACUUCCGGGUGUUUCGUUCAAGGUCCAUGUGAGUACUGCAUCUGUGAUGUGUUUGUUCUUCAGAUCGGUACGGUUUGUAAUGACUUAUUAAUUACGAAGUGGCUGUUCUGCCUGUAAAUAAAGCAAGACAUUCAGAGGUUAU